GAUCAAGGUAGAAAGGCUAAAUUCGCGUCGUCCUGACGCAACGCCUUUCUGACCAACAUCCUAUUGG
This 67-nucleotide small RNA is filed under the name Lederbergia galactosidilytica. RNAcentral's name for it is "Bacillus galactosidilyticus Bacillaceae-1 RNA". It matches the Rfam family "Bacillaceae-1 RNA". The record is from Rfam by way of RNAcentral. Lineage: Bacteria; Bacillati; Bacillota; Bacilli; Caryophanales; Bacillaceae.